GGUUGUGGCUCAUUGGUAGAGUGCUUUACUAGCACAUGUGAGGCACUGGGUUCGAAUCUCAGCACCA
RNAcentral lists this transfer RNA (67 nucleotides) under Marmota monax (woodchuck). RNAcentral describes it as "tRNA.Ala". The record is from RNAcentral. Lineage: Eukaryota; Metazoa; Chordata; Mammalia; Rodentia; Sciuridae.